GCAUAACGCGAAGAACCUUACCUGGCCUUGACAUUGAUAGAAUCUGCUAGAGAUAGCGGAGUGCCCUUCGGGGAGCUUGAAAACAGGUGCUGCACGGCUGUCGUCAGCUCGUGUCGUGAGAUGUUGGGUUAAGUCCCGCAACGAGCGCAACCCUCGUCACUAGUUACUAACGGUUCGGCCGAGGACUCUAGUGAGACUGCCUCCGUAAGGAGGAGGAAGGUGAGGACGACGUCAAGUCAUCAUGGCCCUUACGGCCAGGGCGACACACGUGCUACAAUGGGAUGUACAAUGAGACGCAAUACCGCGAGGUGGAGCAAAUCUAUAAAACAUCUCUCAGUUCGGAUUGUAGUCUGCAACUCGACUACAUGGAGCUGGAAUCACUAGUAAUCGUAGAUCAGCCAUGCUACGGUGAAUACGUUCCCGGGUCUUGUACACACCG
This 439-nucleotide ribosomal RNA is filed under the name uncultured bacterium. RNAcentral describes it as "bacterial SSU rRNA". It matches the Rfam family "Bacterial small subunit ribosomal RNA", at positions 954 to 1392 of the family's 1533-position model. The record is from RNAcentral.